GACGAACGCUGGCGGCGUGCCUAAUACAUGCAAGUUGAGCGCUGAAGGUUGGUACUUGUACCAACUGGAUGAGCAGCGAACGGGUGAGUAACGCGUGGGGAAUCUGCCUUUGAGCGGGGGACAACAUUUGGAAACGAAUGCUAAUACCGCAUAAAAACUUUAAACACAAGUUUUAAGUUCGAAAGAUGCAAUUGCAUCACUCAAAGAUGAUCCCGCGUUGUAUUAGCUAGUUGGUGAGGUAAAGGCUCACCAAGGCGAUGAUACAUAGCCGACCUGAGAGGGUGAUCGGCCACAUUGGGACUGAGACACGGCCCAAACUCCUACGGGAGGCAGCAGUAGGGAAUCUUCGGCAAUGGACGAAAGUCUGACCGAGCAACGCCGCGUGAGUGAAGAAGGUUUUCGGAUCGUAAAACUCUGUUGGUAGAGAAGAACGUUGGUGAGAGUGGAAAGCUCAUCAAGUGACGGUAACUACCCAGAAAGGGACGGCUAACUACGUG
This 497-nucleotide ribosomal RNA is filed under the name uncultured bacterium. RNAcentral describes it as "partial 16S ribosomal RNA". It matches the Rfam family "Bacterial small subunit ribosomal RNA", at positions 28 to 507 of the family's 1533-position model. The record is from RNAcentral.